AACAAAACACAGAAUUUCGCUAUCUUAUUAAAUGACACUAUGCUGGACUAUUGGGUUUAGUUAUUAUUUUAGAAAAGCCCAUAUAGCUUUUGUGACAUUCUUCCUCAGGAUUGCUUAUCGUGACCCAGAAGGACGAUUGAAGAUUCCCUUCUUCAGCUUUCAACGGUGACGGCCAGUAACGCUUUCUUUAGACACCUGGCAACUCCUCCUGAUUCUUCAGCUCACUUAAGAUCAAUACCAAAACAUCAUCUCCCUCAGAUUCGGUCGACGAUCUCUGGAAUAUUUGGUCCUUUCUCUUCGAAAAUAGGUGCUUGGAGCUUUCGGCUCUUAUGGAUUGAAACUAACCGUUCGAUUUGUAGCGAUGGUUCUCGGUUUGGUUUCGGAGAGCUUUGGAGGAGAUUCCGAGACAUCAAUCAAAGUCAAUCAAAGCUUUUCACCAUACAAUCUACUUACAUGAUUUACUUCAACAAGGACGCUUGGAAGUUUCACAUGUCAGAUUCUGUAAACUCGAAUCAAGUAAGUAAAAAUGGAAACUGUUAUAUCUCUUAUACGUUUGUCUUUGCUAUCGUAUCGUUUGACUACUGUCUUAAACCGCCAUGGAGCACCUCCUAUCAUCAAACACUCUCUACCUCAUCUUAAAUCUGUUGCCCCUUUUUCGGAUUGUGUUUGUGGCGUUUUGAGAAGAAAUAGAAGAAAACCAUGGCAGGAGCUGAUUGUGCUUGAUAUCAAAGGCCGUGUUCGCGUCUGGUGUGACUACCACGGCGAUGUGCCGUCGUGGAAGCCGAGCGCUUCUUCUCCAAGCUCUCAGGGCUUGGAAAUAUCUUAAGGCAGCAACAUGUUGCAAGUCUCUGGCUGUUGUCUACAAUGGUAUGCUGCAAAUCGGGAUGCUUGCUAGAUAAGCUGAUCAAAGGAUCGAUGUAAGAAGGCGUAAUGAAAUCUAAAGCAUGUUAUUUAGCCAGUCUUUCUCUUUAUAUCAUGGGAGAUUAAAGCUACCAUUUCUACAUGCGAAUACACAGGUGGUGAUUUUGCAGCUGCUUGGUGAUAAGGGAAUCACAAGUAUUGGUGGAAACAUGAUUAGGUGCUUCACAUCUCCAGACCAGGCUUACGUAGGCUUACAUUCCUUCAAUUGAAAGAAGCUGGAUGCGGGGAGGUGUUGUAUUGGUUCAGCUUAUAUUUCCCAAGAAACAGAUUGCAGUGAGUACCCAGCCCCGUAAAGCAGAGAAAAUUCAUCACAUGCGUCGUCGCGUCGAUCGGUUCAAAGAACUUAUGAAUGCGUGAUCAUGUGGUUUAAACACGGAGUGGAAAUGUAAAUUUUCUCAAGAAAUCAUGAACUAAACACUUAUAUAUCAGCGCCGAGUUCUUUUUUCAAUAUAAACAAGUAAUCUUCUUCACAGGAUAAACUUCAAACUUCGAAGUGUUGUCUCAAUGUAGACAUGUGUUUCGUUUGUGGGUGUCAUUUUGAAUGAUCGUUCAAGAGACUAACAAAUCAGUGGAAAUUACGCUGAAUGAUGUCUCUAGACUCGAGGACAAAAAAUUGCUUCUCAUAGAGGUUUGUAUUAUUUUUAGUUUUGAGCUUCUAAAUGUAGAUUUAUUGAUGCUCGCAUAAUCUUUGACUCACAGUUUUAGAAAAGCUUGUGAUGUGUGAUUAUUAUGAUUUAAACGUAUGGAAUAAAAGAGAAGAUUUCUCAUCA
Molecule: RNA transcript, 1691 nt
Organism: Brassica napus (rape)
Lineage: Eukaryota; Viridiplantae; Streptophyta; Magnoliopsida; Brassicales; Brassicaceae
Exons: 6
Source: RefSeq, a predicted model, not a curated record